GUGGAAUCUGCUUCCAACAGAGUGCUUUCACAAAGUUCAUUUGAGACUGAGUGGACCACACCUUCAAUGGAUAGCAGGUGUUCAUUAUAGGCUACAACCAAUAUGCAUAAGAGAUUCUUCACAGUGGGAGUUUUGAAGGCAGAACAGCCCUACAUUGGGGCAUCAUCCUAAAAGUUUUGAGAAGGGAAAUGGCAUCUGAUGGACAGUUUUGAUGGAUGCAUACAUAUCCAACUGUUCCUUCCAAACAAACUCCUCGGGUGCAUCUUACGUGGGAGUUGUGGAUGUAUCAAAGCCUCAUCCUUUAUUGCCAGCCUAGUGAAGCUUCUGCAUUUAUUGGCUUCUUUCAGUGAGGGAGACUCUUAAAAGAAUUGAGAUAUAUGACAAUCAAGACCUGGUUCUUUCUCACCGCCAUUCAGGAGUGACUGACAAGCACCACCUUCUGGAGAAAAUGUGAAGUUAGUGUCAAAGUUGAUGAUCUCUGACACUACUGUGCUUUUCACAGGUACCCAGAGUUGAAGCUCCCUCUGAUUCCAGCACCAGUCUAACCCCAUGUUCCUGAAGCAGUUUCUUUACCUUUAUUCUAACCAGAGUGAUCUACCUUUUGCCUUAAGGAAGAUAUAAAGCAGUGUAAGUUGGAAAAUCAA
Molecule: non-coding RNA, 644 nt
Organism: Ictidomys tridecemlineatus (thirteen-lined ground squirrel)
Lineage: Eukaryota; Metazoa; Chordata; Mammalia; Rodentia; Sciuridae
Source: RefSeq, a predicted model, not a curated record